ACGGAGGGUGCAAGCGUUGUUCGGAAUUACUGGGCGUAAAGGGCGCGUAGGCGGCUUGGUAAGUCAGAUGUGAAAGCCCAUGGCUUAACUGUGGAAGUGCAUUUGAUACUGCUAGGCUUGAGUACCAGAGGGGAAAGUGGAAUUCCCGGUGUAGAGGUGAAAUUCGUAGAUAUCGGGAGGAAUACCGGUGGCGAAGGCGACUUUCUGGCUGAGUACUGACGCUGAGGCGCGAAAGCGUGGGGAGCAAACAG
RNAcentral lists this ribosomal RNA (251 nucleotides) under uncultured prokaryote. Its description in RNAcentral is "partial 16S rRNA". It matches the Rfam family "Bacterial small subunit ribosomal RNA", at positions 525 to 775 of the family's 1533-position model. The record is from RNAcentral.